UAAAGUAUUGUUUAUAGGCUUUCAUUUAGAAGUAAAUAUAAUCCAGUUUUAAAAUAGUCAUUUCAGAUUGCCACUUUGACUCCAUUUUGGACAGAGGCAAUGGAGCGGUUCAUUAAAAUUACAAGCAUUGUCUAUGCCGUUUGAUAAUUAUUCUUAUAUUUUCAUAUCUAUGGUUUCUUAGGAUAUUUAAUAUCAAGAAACAGAAUAACUGAAAACUAUCUUUAUAACCCUGUGUUACUCAUCAGUCUUUCUCUUUCCCUUAUUUUAUGCAUAAAAAGGACUUCACUGGUGAGCCCUCAUUGUGUAUGCAGAUGACAUCGGUGAUCCCUUUGAACUAAUGAACUUUGGCCUUAGGGCACAUGCAUUCUGAAUGGGUCUUUAAAAUGCAUGUGCCACACCGUGGGAAUGAGAGAGGCAUUGCAGAAAGGAGAAAUGGGGGUGGAAAGGCUUGGAUUGAUAGACACAAGUGACUAGUUGGUAGAUAGUUAAAAGGUCGAAUAAUUCAUUAUUUAGGAAUCACCUUCAAAGGUUGCAGUGUUCAAAAAUUAGCAUAAUAGUUUGUAUAUAGAAAAGAUUCUUUGAGAAGGCAUCAUUUACUAUAACCUAAGGGUCUUUUUUUAUAAUGAAGUGUUCAAUUUUGUCAAGAUGCUAUAGAUUUCACUUUGGCCUUUUCACCUUAAGUAACAUUUAAUACAAUUUUAUUCUGAAUUUCCCAACAAUAAAAACCCUUAUGCUUCAUGUUCCUUAUUUAUCUGUUGUUGUAUUUUAACUAAAUACCAGAGCUUUGCAGUUUAUUUUUUCUUUCAACAAGUAUUUACAGGAUGCCUUUUAUUUAGAGCAGUGGACAAAUGGAGGUGUGGACAAAACAGACUAGUACCUUAUUUCAUGUAACGUGCAUUCUAGCAGAAGAAGGAGGAUAAUGAACAAAUAUAAAAGAUCUAACAUAUUGUGUGCGGUAGGUGCUUUGAAGAAAAAUGGAGAAGGGAAUAAAGCAGUAGGUGUGCUGUUCUGUGUGGGGGCACUCGAGAAGGCCCCCUGAAAGAACCACAUUGUUAUGGAGACAUGGAGGAUGGAGGGUGCACAGUAGCUCGCUAACAUCAGGCCAAGGAAAUGAUCGGUGGAGAGGUCCGGGUGGAAAGAUGCCCGGGCCAUCUGGUGAUAGACCACAGAAGACUGAGUAGAGUAGUGGGGGUCAGAGAGGUGGGGGUUGAGGGCCUUGCAGAACAUUGUCAAGACUUUGGAUUUUGCUCCGGGUAAAGGGGAGCCCUGGAGGACUCCUGCAGAGGGUUUGGAGCACCUGCCUGUGAGUCGGGAGGGCGCUGGCUGCUGCGCUGAGACGAGGACGAGGGAGGACAGAGGCAGAGAGGUCUGCUGGGCGGACAUCAGAGACCCUGAUGGCAGGCAGCAACAGAGAUGGUGAAGUGAUGGGAUUCCGGAUAUAUUCCCGAGAUGGAGUUAGAGGGUUUGCUGGCUGGAUAUGGAAGUAAGAAGAGAUGUUUACAAGAACCAUAAGGUCUGUGAUGUGAGUAGCUAGAAUAAAGGAGAUGGCAUUAGUUAAAAUUGGAAAAGCCUGGGCCUGGGUGAAAAAGGUGACGGGAUGGAGUGCAGAUUGGUAGUCACAAAACAGCCCCGGGCAUGGAAGGGGCAGCAUAGGGAGCAUAGUCAAUGAUACUGUAAUAGCUGUGCAUGGUGCCAGGUGGGCACUGGAAGUAUCAGGGGGAUGGAACACUGGGUAAAAUAUGUGAGUGUCUAAUGACUGUGCUGUACACCAGAAACUCAUACAGAAUAAUAUUGACAGUUAACUGUAAUUGAAAAAAAUUGAAAAUAAAAGUAAAAAUCUCUUACUGUUUAUAUCAUUACUGUUAAUAUUUGGAAACUAUAAAUUAGAGAACUCAUGUGCUUGGGCAUAAAAGCAUGCAGAGAUGAGGUUGGAGAAAGCUGUCAGUUAAGAAGGCUGCAAGCUCAAUGAUCAUUGAAGAUCACACUAUGACUUUUCAGGAAGAGAGGGAUAGUGUCACCAGGGGGCAUAACCGUAGACAAGGAAAUCACGGUUCCUUUUUGGAGAUAGUGGUGGUGGUGAUGGCGGAGACGCUGAACAAAGUCAGGCCCAGUCUCAUGAACGAUUUACCUUUGCUUUUCAUUUAUCCUCACGGAGGGCGGAAGCCAUGGCAGGUCAUAGAGGAUUCUCCUGUUAUUCUCAGCCUGAUAGUUUGUUAAAUAGAAGACAAUGGAUGGAGAUGAUAGUUGUGGAAAAUAUCGACACUGAGUUUUGGUGAUUAGCAUGCCUCUAGGACUGAUAACUGUAGGAACUUCUCCCGAGUCUGCAUUAGACUUGCAGUGGCCAUGCAGCUUUUGCUCUCUCGGAUGCUCUUAUGUUUCCUGUGACAAACGGCUAGCAAGAGUGACUGUGUGUCACUCACAUGUAAGUGGUAGGUUAGGUCCUUCUCUGUCUGACUUCUAAAUUUAAUAAUAUGUCUCUUCAAAUGGUUUUGUGGCUCUUGGAACUGCAGGAAACUAACGUAGGAAGUUAUGAGAAAAUCUAGCCCACCACAAAUCAAUAUUGGCUCUUGGGGAAUGAAGUGAGGGCACAUUUCUGGAGAAUGUGUUUCACUCCGGGAUACUUUGCAGCUCCCCGUGUGCUAGGUAAGUGUGUGACCUGGGAGUCAGUCUGGCUCUGUAGGAGUCCACUGUCUCUGCUUAGAGAGGGAAAUUAGAAGUGUUUGAAGCAAGAAUGACCAGCUCAGGCUUAGAUGCCCUUGAACAUGA
Long non-coding RNA from Phyllostomus discolor (pale spear-nosed bat), 2766 nucleotides. RefSeq lists it as uncharacterized. NCBI's taxonomy places the organism in Eukaryota, Metazoa, Chordata, Mammalia, Chiroptera, Phyllostomidae. The transcript has 2 exons. The record is from RefSeq and is a predicted model, not a curated record.